Molecule: long non-coding RNA, 2770 nt
Filed under: Equus asinus (donkey)
Lineage: Eukaryota; Metazoa; Chordata; Mammalia; Perissodactyla; Equidae
Description: lncRNA (ENSEASG00005035250.1)
Source: RNAcentral
AGGCAGAAGGUGACGAGGCUAUGGAAUCAGAGAUUGGAGUGAUGCAGCCACAGGUCAGGGAGAGCCAGCAGUCUCUAAAAGGCAGAACAGGCAAGGAAGAGAAGGAACCAGACCUGCCGAUGCCUUAACUUUAGCCCAGAGAAACUGAUUUGGGACUCCUGGCCUCCAGAAUGUGAGCCAAUAAAUGUGUGUUGUUUGAGGCCACUCAGUUAGUGGUAACGCGUUACAGCAGCCACAGGAAACAAAUACAGGAUGAUAUGUAAAUAUGAAUUCCUGCACAAAUGGAAGGAUUUGCAGUAAUGCAGCCAGAGCCAGGUGAGGCCCAACUCAGUGGGCGUGCCUAAGGAGCCAACAGGUGUCAGCCUGCAGUGUCUGUUUGCAUGAGCUUAUUUCUCGGGAGGGAAGAUGCCUCCAUGGAGGGCUGUGCGGCUGGAGCAAUGUCUGCUGCCUGACUCUGCCUGGUCACCCAGAUUUGAGCCCCAGUCCAGUGGGGAGAGGCUUCAGACAGAGCUGAAGGCACCAUUUUCCAAGGGACCCUGACAGCCUUAUGAGUGCAAGCUGUGCUGCUUUGAGGCCCAAUGACAAGGCAGGACACAGAAGGGAGUAGGGAGCAUUUGCUCCAUUUCUACAUGCAUGGCUGUAGCUCAGUAGACACAGCCCGAUGUGUUCUAGCAUCCAAAGGCUGCGUCUCAAGACCGCUGGCCAACCUCAACCUCAUCCUGGGCCACUGCUCAGGUUGCGGGGAGAAACACUGUUCUUGGGGCCUUACAGGCAGCAGGCAUCACUAAGAGAUUCAAGCCAAAGACACAAAAUUUCCUGGAAACUCCCCCAAAGAAAUAAGGCAGUGAGUUGUCGUUGGGGAUAAACAUAAGCCGUCGGCAUUGGGACUCACGCACGAUGGUGCCCAACCACCAAUGGGGCCUUGGGACCCUCAGGCCACUGCACGGCCUGUCGACACCUACCAAAGUUCCUCUCCAGGACAGCUGUUGCCUAGAGGAUCCCUGACCCGGUUCACAGUAGCCACUGGGCUCCCUGCACAGGGGUGGCCACACCAGACUUUUUGUAAUGUGGCUUAUUCUCUGGAACUCAGGGCGCUGGAGAGACUGGAGGUGGGAGAGGGAGAGGAAGCAAGCGGUGUUUUCCUUCGGGAUCUUUCUCUUCCGACCUUACCCUCCUCGACCAUGUUUUGCAGCAUCGUUGCAGACUGCAUCUUCCUGUCCUCACCACUGCCCUGCCUGUUCUCCCUUGUCAAGCUCUGCUUAAGGAUACUUCAGAAAGCUCCUCCUGGCCACCCAGUGUUUAGGAAAAUCUCACAAAAGGGUCUUAGCAUGGCUAUAAGUUUUCCUCUGAGCACUUUUCUCAGAACAAGAUGUGCUGAGUCAUUCUAGAACUUCAAAAUUGGUGGCAGCACGAGGGGUGGGCAAGAGAGGAGAGAGAGCUAGAGAACUUCUUUGUUUAUGCAACGUCAUCUCCUUCUGGAAAUCGAGAGCCAGUUCUCAAAAUCCCAGAUGUCCUUGAUCUCUGAGUCUCUCAAAGGCCUACAGAGGCAAUCCCUGUCCGUGGUGGGGACGAGUUUUAUCUUUUUCCCCCAAUCCAUCUCAGACGGACACUUUCAUAAAAUACAGUGAAAAAUAAGUGGCUAGAAAAACAAAGACUUACAAAUUACAACCUCACUGAUCACGCAUUCAUACGUCACAAGAUCAUCAAAAUGCUAUAUGCAUUUCUAGACGCUGACUCUCAGUUUCUGCACAUACCCCAUUGAGGGUGGAUAAUAAACACGUGUUGCAGCAGCACCUGUCCACGGAGACACACAGAGCACAUGCUACAGAUUAAUGGACUGUUUGCUUGUUUAGGGCAAGAAUCCUGAAAGUGUUCUUUAUUCUUUAGUGUGUGAAUCUACAGCCAAAGGCUUUCUCGGUAGACAAAGGGAAAAGAGAAGCAACUCUGAUGGUUACUCUUUGCCCUGGACUUGCUUUAGGGGAAAGGGAACAUUCUCCAACAAUUUGCAUUUCUAACAAGUGGAAGGUGAUGCUGAGGCUGCUGGUCCCUGGACCACACUUUGAGAACUACUCAUCUAGAGGCAGAUUGAUUAUGGAUCAUUUGUGUUGACACGUGUGAAUCCCAGUAUAUUGCCUCCCUUGGAGGAAGAGCCAAUAAUACUUUUCUUCCUCCCUCCAUCAUCUUACAUAUCUCCGGAAGUGGAGAUGUACUGACCGAGCCCAGAAGUAACAAGGAAGGCAAUUGGAAAAUGAGAUUGAAUAUGCAAAUGGAAAAUUUGUACAAGAAAAUGAAGAAAUCGACUCAGCACUCCUUCAGCUUGGACGGGCCGCUAGAACCCAGUUCUGCACAUGGUGGGUGCACACUACGUUUUACCCAGCAACGGACUCUGACAAGCCUGAAAAGUGACCUGCUCCUGCGUGAUGAGGCCAACUUAGACAACGACGUUUAAGCCCAUCUUAGACCUAAUCUUACCUUCAAAAUUUCCACUUCUUAUCACGUCAAACCCAUUAGAACUCAGCCCAUUCCAGCUCAAAGUGAAUCUGUUUUGCUAUAAAUUUCUAAAGGGCUUUUAUAAUUUGCCUUUUGAAAUUAUUUAGCUCUCAGAAAUAUUUAAUAUAUAAUUGGCUAUGCUUUCUUAGCAAUCACGUAUAUUUGAGAAUUUUUUGUGAAGUGAAAGAAAUCUAAUCUGUGUUAUUUUUAAAUGCCAAGAAAUUCAAACACUCAGUUUAACAGUGAAGGAAGCUGGCAAAACAUUACAUUAUGUGUGGAU